Molecule: RNA transcript, 2727 nt
Organism: Panicum virgatum (switchgrass)
Lineage: Eukaryota; Viridiplantae; Streptophyta; Magnoliopsida; Poales; Poaceae
Gene name: guanylate-binding protein 5-like
Exons: 17
Source: RefSeq, a predicted model, not a curated record
UCAAAACUUACCCUCCGAUCGCCUCUUCCUCUUCCGCUUCCGCCCGCCGACGCCGGCCACGUCGCCUCGCCGCGACGUCUCCUUCCUCCCGCUCGCCAAGCAAAAGCCACCGCCCCUGCGGGGGCAAGGUCACGGAACCCAACCCGAGCCCUUUAUCAGCCCGUACCCGGUGCUGGCGCGGGGCCUCUCCCUUUCCCUCCCCUCCGCGUCCAAGCUUCCUUCCCACGACCCGAGGAGAAACCGCAAGCCGUUUGAGGGCGGUCGCGCGUGGGUUUCAAGGUCUGGUCGCGCCUCCUGCGGGCGAAAGGUGGCUUGGCGGCAAUGGGGUGGCGGGCGCGUGCCCCGGCAGUGAUGGGGUGGCGGGCGCGUGCCCUGGCGGUGUUGGUGGUGGCGGCGGCGGCGCUGUGGUGUCUCGCAGCCGCGGCGGCUGGGGCGGCUGGGGAUGCCGAUGCCGGCGGCCUCGAGCGUGCGUUUCCAAUAGUCGAACCAGAUUACGGACACACGAAACUCCGUCUUGCAAAAGAAGGUUUGGAGGCCAUUCAGAGGAUCAAAACUCCAGUAGCUGCUGUCUCUGUCAUUGGUCCAUAUCGAUCUGGCAAAUCUUUUCUUCUCAACCAGCUCCUCUCCCUUUCAUGUGACAAAGGUUUUGGAGUUGGACACAUGCGGGAUACCAAAACAAAAGGUAUAUGGGUUUUGGAUACCCCCAUUGAGGUGGAUAUUGAUGGCUCCAUAGUUUCUGUCCUAUACCUGGACACUGAAGGAUUUGAGAGUGUUGGAAAAUCAAAUGUAUAUGAUGAUAGGAUAUUUGCUCUGGCAACUGUUUUAAGUUCUGUUCUGAUCUACAAUCUUCCUGAGACAAUUCGUGAAGCUGAUAUUUCUAGGCUUUCAUUUGCUGUUGAAAUUGCUGAAGAAUUCUAUGGAAGACUUGUGGAAACCAGAGUCAAGGGGCAAGAUGUCGCUUUUGAGCCAGCAAAACUUCUGUGGCUAAUCCAGAGGGAUUUCCUCCAAGGAAAAUCUGUUCAGCAGAUGGUUGAUGAGGCACUCCAACGGGUGCCUAACAACAAUGGAGACAAAUAUAUUAAUGAGAUCAACCAAAUCAGAGACUCAUUGGCGGUUAUGGGAGAUAACAGUACAGCUUUUAGCUUGCCACAGCCUCAUCUGCAAAGGACACAGUUAUGUGAUCUGGAUGACAAAGAACUUGAUCCGUUGUACUUAAAAAGGAGAGAUCAACUGAAACAAAUUGUUUCAUCCUUGAUAAAACCAAAAGUUGUGCAAGGUAGAACUCUAAAUGGGACGGAGUUUGUAUCCUUCCUAGGGCAGAUAGUUGAGGUUUUGAAUAAAGGUGAAAUUCCAUCAACUGGAUCACUUGUUGAAGUUUUCAAUAAGGCCAUUGUUGAACGUUGCUUGAAGUUGUAUAAUGAAAGAAUGGGCAGAGCAGGUCUGCCAGUAUCAGUGGAUAAACUUCAGCAGUUUCAUGACCUGGCAAAAGAUGAAGCUAGAAGCCUCUUCGACAAGCAGCAUUUCGGUAAACAUCAUGCUGCUCAAUCCACCUCCAAGCUUGAUGAAGAGAUUAUAAAGGUCUUCAGAAACUUUGGUCAAGCUAACGAAUACCAGUCAUCAAAGUUGUGCGAAGCACGAUUCUCAGAGUGCGAAGAUAAAAUGGAACACCUUCAAGUCUUAAAGCUUCCGUCCAUGGCAAAAUUUGAUGCAGGAUUUCUUCUCUGCAAUCAAAGAUUUGAAAUGGAUUGCAUAGGACCAGCCAAGGAAAGUUAUCAACGCCGGAUGUCAAAGGGAAACAGAGCUGUUUGGUGUGCUAUAGUAUAUGUUUCCCCAGUAACAAAACAGAAGUAUCACCUUUUGACUGUAUUUGCUAUCGGACAUUGUUAAACUGAAUCAAGUUCUAUCGUCUAUGCACGCUUCAGAUGCUGGCAAGAUCACGUUCUCUUUUCAUCAAGGAGUACAACAACAAGCUCUUCAACUGGCUGGUGAUAUUCUCCCUGAUCAUGGUUGUCAUCGGGCGCUUUGUGAUCAAGUUCUUCCUGUUGGAGAUUGCUGCCUGGGUGAUGUUUGCCUUCCUGGAGACAUACACGAGGCUUUUCUGGUCCUCGGAGUCCCUGUAUUACAACCCUGUCUGGCAUGUCGUCGUCUCUACCUGGGAAACCAUUGUGUACAACCCUAUUCUUGACCUUGACAGAUGGGCAAUCCCAAUCCUUGCCGUGCUGUCGUUUUUGGCGAUUUAUUGGCGUUGCCUGGGUGGAAGGAAAGGGAUCGCACGGUCGUUGCUGCCUCUGUACAAUGGGUCUUACAGAAGCUCCAAUCGUCCAAGAACAGACUGAUCCACCAAGUACACACAAACAAGAGCGUGUACAUACUUCACCUGUUGGCUGGGCGUGAUUUUAUCAGUGUUCCCAGCCAACAGAUAACAGACUCAUUUAACUCCACAUGGCAAUGCGAAAAUGAGCAUCCUGGAGGCACCCUGUAAGCUUCUGUUGUAAAAUUGUAAAUCCAAACAGAGUAAUUAUGCUCAGAGGUACCCAUCCAGCUCAAUUGCAUUCUUUAUAGUAACAUUAGACUCAGAGUAAAGUGAUGCUGAUGUACGAAAUAUGGCCUUUCUUUUAUUCUUUGAACUGCCUCCCAACAAGAAAUACAGUGAAUUACAUCUAGUCAACCCUCACAGCUCAAAGCAGAUGACCCGUAGCCACUUCAACGCUAUUACGACAACAACAG